This 253-nucleotide ribosomal RNA is filed under the name uncultured bacterium. Its description in RNAcentral is "partial 16S ribosomal RNA". It matches the Rfam family "Bacterial small subunit ribosomal RNA", at positions 524 to 776 of the family's 1533-position model. The record is from RNAcentral.
UACGUAGGGCGCGAGCGUUAAUCGGAAUUACUGGGCGUAAAGCGCGCGCAGGCGGCCCUGCGCGCUGCCGGUGAAAGCUCCCGGCUCACCUGGGAGAGGUUCGGCAGGACGGCAGGGCUGGAGGGCGGUAGAGGGUGGUGGAAUUCCCGGUGUAGUGGUGAAAUGCGUAGAGAUCGGGAGGAACACCCGUAGCGAAGGCGGCCACCUGGGCCGAACCUGACGCUGAGGCGCGAAGGCCAGGGGAGCGAACGGG